UGUCGUUGUAGUACUGAAGGUUGU
This 24-nucleotide non-coding RNA is filed under the name Arabidopsis thaliana (thale cress). The record is from RNAcentral. Lineage: Eukaryota; Viridiplantae; Streptophyta; Magnoliopsida; Brassicales; Brassicaceae.